GGAUAUCGUUCCAGUUGUCCUGUACUUGCUGGGGAAUAGAAAGGGAGGGAAGAGUGCAGGAGUGACCUGGUUCUCAGGAGUAAGCACAGUGGCUCUGCCAGAAAGGAAGGAAUACAUCUCAAACAUGGGAAUAUCAGGAAGGAAGAGAGGUAGACCCCAAAUUCCAUUCUGAAAACAUUUUUGGAGCAACACCCAGAUCAGCACGUGUGCAGGAGAUCUAUUCUUCACUGCAUUAUCACUGUUUGGCAGUGCUGUAGUUCCUGCCUGCGGCCAACCUGGGAAGCUACUCCUCCAAUAUGCAGAUAUUUACCUAAUCUUUCCAGCACAGAGGUUGUUUGAUUUCGGAGGUCCAGAAGUGUUUCUGAAAUUUCACUCUGCUUCUGUGUUGGGAUGGCACCCAGGUAUGUAUUAUCUCAUUCUUUCUCCCUAAUCAAUUAUUUGAAUGGCCUAAAAAG
Phasianus colchicus (ring-necked pheasant) is the source of this 455-nucleotide long non-coding RNA. The record is from Ensembl. NCBI's taxonomy places the organism in Eukaryota, Metazoa, Chordata, Aves, Galliformes, Phasianidae.